UCCGGUUUGACACCGGCAGUCCCCCUAGAGUGCCCGGCUUUACCCGCUGGCAACUAGAGACGAGGGUUGCGCUCGUUGCGGGACUUAACCCAACAUCUCACGACACGAGCUGACGACAGCCAUGCAGCACCUGUGUGUAGGUCCCGUAAGGGAAGGAAUCCAUCUCUGGAAACCGUCCUGCCAUGUCAAGGGCUGGUAAGGUUCUUCGCGUUGCUUCGAAUUAAACCACAUGCUCCGCUGCUUGUGCGGGUCCCCGUCAAUUCCUUUGAGUUUUAGCCUUGCGGCCGUACUCCCCAGGCGGGGCACUUAAUGCGUUAGCUACGGCGCGGGAGGAGUCGACACCUCCCACACCUAGUGCCCAUCGUUUACGGCGUGGACUAC
Molecule: unclassified non-coding RNA, 381 nt
Filed under: uncultured bacterium
Lineage: Bacteria
Description: contains 16S-23S intergenic spacer region
Source: RNAcentral